CCCUGGUAAGCUCAGUUGGUAGAGCACUCCACUGGAAAUGGGCAUGUCCCGGGUUCAAUACCCGGACAAGGCG
Molecule: non-coding RNA, 73 nt
Organism: Ixodes scapularis (black-legged tick)
Lineage: Eukaryota; Metazoa; Arthropoda; Arachnida; Ixodida; Ixodidae
Source: Rfam